AUCAUUACCGAGUGCGGACCCUCUGGGUCCAACCUCCCAUCCGUGUCUAUUCAUACCCUGUUGCUUCGGCGGGCCCGCUUGACUGUCCCCCCCCUCCUGGGGAGGGGGCUGCCGGCCGCCGGGGGGCUACCCUGCCCCCGGGCCCGUGCCCGCCGGGGACACCAACACUGAACACUGUCUGAAGGUUGCAGUCUGAGUUUUCAUAAAGAAAAAUUGUUAAAACUUUCAACAACGGAUCUCUUGGUUCCGGCAUCGAUGAAGAACGCAGCGAAAUGCGAUACGUAAUGUGAAUUGCAGAAUUCAGUGAAUCAUCGAGUCUUUGAACGCACAUUGCGCCCUCUGGUAUUCCGGGGGGCAUGCCUGUCCGAGCGUCAUUGCUGCCCUCAAGCACGGCUUGUGUGUUGGGCCCCCGUCCCGGUUAAGCAUCAGCCCCGGGACGGGCCCGAAAGGCASCGGCGGCACCGUGUCCGGUCCUCGAGCGUAUGGGGCUCUGUCACCCGCUCGUGUAGGUCCGGCCGGCGGCCAGCCYGACCCUUUAACCAAUCUUUUAACCAGGUUGACCUCGGAUCAGGUASGGAUACCYGWUGAAWUUAAGCAUAUCAAUAAGCGGAGGA
This 614-nucleotide ribosomal RNA is filed under the name uncultured fungus. RNAcentral's name for it is "eukaryotic LSU rRNA". The stretch from base 221 to 374 matches the Rfam family "5.8S ribosomal RNA". The record is from RNAcentral. Lineage: Eukaryota; Fungi.